This 206-nucleotide ribosomal RNA is filed under the name uncultured bacterium. Its description in RNAcentral is "partial 16S ribosomal RNA". It matches the Rfam family "Bacterial small subunit ribosomal RNA", at positions 1297 to 1500 of the family's 1533-position model. The record is from RNAcentral.
AUUGUAGUCUGCAACUCGACUACAUGAAGCUGGAAUCGCUAGUAAUCGCGAAUCAGAAUGUCGCGGUGAAUACGUUCCCGGGUCUUGUACACACCGCCCGUCACACCAUGGGAGUCAGUAACGCCCGAAGCCGGUGACCUAACCGAAAGGGAGGAGCCCGUCGGAAGGUGGGACCGAUAACUGGGGUGAAGUCGUAACAAGGUAGC